UGCGUCAUAAGAACUUCUUGGUAGGGCUCGCUAGUCACACAUAGCCAGUUUAGCACGAAGUUUUGUUGUAGGUUUGUCUCAGCGGAUCCUUUUUGCCAAAUUAUGAGCUCUAAGUUCUGCUCUUUUACCACUUUCGUUACCGUGUUAUGGCUGGCAAUGUUUGUGGAAAAGUCAGUGUGCCCUAACGGAAAACCUCCACCGCCAUUAAGCCCCACUUCUGGUCCAUGGAUGUCUGGAACCCACCUAGGUUCCGUAGGUAUCAAUGUCAGUC
This is a long non-coding RNA of Rhipicephalus microplus (southern cattle tick), 271 nucleotides long. The record is from RefSeq and is a predicted model, not a curated record. NCBI's taxonomy places the organism in Eukaryota, Metazoa, Arthropoda, Arachnida, Ixodida, Ixodidae.